Molecule: ribosomal RNA, 1050 nt
Filed under: Staphylococcus aureus
Lineage: Bacteria; Bacillati; Bacillota; Bacilli; Caryophanales; Staphylococcaceae
Description: bacterial SSU rRNA
Rfam family: Bacterial small subunit ribosomal RNA
Source: RNAcentral
AUGUUAGCGGCGGACGGGUGAGUAACACGUGGAUAACCUACCUAUAAGACUGGGAUAACUUCGGGAAACCGGAGCUAAUACCGGAUAAUAUUUUGAACCGCAUGGUUCAAAAGUGAAAGACGGUCUUGCUGUCACUUAUAGAUGGAUCCGCGCUGCAUUAGCUAGUUGGUAAGGUAACGGCUUACCAAGGCAACGAUGCAUAGCCGACCUGAGAGGGUGAUCGGCCACACUGGAACUGAGACACGGUCCAGACUCCUACGGGAGGCAGCAGUAGGGAAUCUUCCGCAAUGGGCGAAAGCCUGACGGAGCAACGCCGCGUGAGUGAUGAAGGUCUUCGGAUCGUAAAACUCUGUUAUUAGGGAAGAACAUAUGUGUAAGUAACUGUGCACAUCUUGACGGUACCUAAUCAGAAAGCCACGGCUAACUACGUGCCAGCAGCCGCGGUAAUACGUAGGUGGCAAGCGUUAUCCGGAAUUAUUGGGCGUAAAGCGCGCGUAGGCGGUUUUUUAAGUCUGAUGUGAAAGCCCACGGCUCAACCGUGGAGGGUCAUUGGAAACUGGAAAACUUGAGUGCAGAAGAGGAAAGUGGAAUUCCAUGUGUAGCGGUGAAAUGCGCAGAGAUAUGGAGGAACACCAGUGGCGAAGGCGACUUUCUGGUCUGUAACUGACGCUGAUGUGCGAAAGCGUGGGGAUCAAACAGGAUUAGAUACCCUGGUAGUCCACGCCGUAAACGAUGAGUGCUAAGUGUUAGGGGGUUUCCGCCCCUUAGUGCUGCAGCUAACGCAUUAAGCACUCCGCCUGGGGAGUACGACCGCAAGGUUGAAACUCAAAGGAAUUGACGGGGACCCGCACAAGCGGUGGAGCAUGUGGUUUAAUUCGAAGCAACGCGAAGAACCUUACCAAAUCUUGACAUCCUUUGACAACUCUAGAGAUAGAGCUUUCCCCUUCGGGGGACAAAGUGACAGGUGGUGCAUGGUUGUCGUCAGCUCGUGUCGUGAGAUGUUGGGUUAAGUCCCGCAACGAGCGCAACCCUUAAGCUUAGUUGCCAUCA